RNAcentral lists this ribosomal RNA (253 nucleotides) under uncultured bacterium. RNAcentral describes it as "partial 16S ribosomal RNA". It matches the Rfam family "Bacterial small subunit ribosomal RNA", at positions 524 to 777 of the family's 1533-position model. The record is from RNAcentral.
UACGUAGGUGGCAAGCGUUGUCCGGAAUUAUUGGGCGUAAAGCGCGCGCAGGCGGUCCUUUAAGUCUGAUGUGAAAGCCCACGCUCAACUGGGAGGGUGCGCCGAAAACUGCAAGGCUGGAGUGUGGGAGAGGUAGGCGGAAUUCCUGGUGUAGCGGUGGAAUGCGUAGAGAUCGGGAAGAACAUCAGUGGCGAAGGCGGCCUGCUGGGCUGUUGCUGACGCUGAGGCGCGACAGCGUGGGGAGCAAACGAGG